RNAcentral lists this ribosomal RNA (493 nucleotides) under Rhombosepion prashadi. RNAcentral's name for it is "partial large subunit ribosomal RNA". It matches the Rfam family "Bacterial large subunit ribosomal RNA", at positions 1910 to 2620 of the family's 2925-position model. The record is from RNAcentral. Lineage: Eukaryota; Metazoa; Mollusca; Cephalopoda; Sepiida; Sepiidae.
CAGUGAAAUAUUUAAACAGCUGCGGUAUUUUAACUGUACUAAGGUAGCAUAAUAAUUUGCCUUAUAAAUUGAGGCUAGAAUGAAGGGUUUGACGAAGGUUUAACUGUCUCUAUUUUAUUUAAUAGAAUUUAAUUUUUAUAGUGAAAAAGCUUAAAUAUUUUAAAGGGAAGAGAAGACCCUAUUGAGCUUUAAUUUUAUAUGAUUAUAAUAAUAAUAUUGUAGUAAAUAGGUAAAUUUUAAUUGGGGUGAUUAAGGAAUAAAAUAUAAUUGAUAAGUAACUUCCUUAAGAAGAAUACUGUUAGGUUAAGUAACCAAUAUAUAUUGCUUGUAGAAAGUUACCAUAGGGAUAACAGCGUAAUUUAUUUAGAGAGUUCUAAUUGAUAAAUAAGAUUGCGACCUCGAUGUUGGAUUAAAGUAACCUUAAGGUGCAGAAGCUUUUAUUGGUAAAUCUGUUCGAUUUUUAAAACUUUACGUGAUCUGAGUUCAGACCGGA